GUGCAGCAGUCGCGAAAACUCUGCAAUACGCGAAAGCGUGACAGGGCUACCCCGAGUGUCGUCCGCUGAGGACGACUUUUCCACGCUGUAAGGAGGCGUGGGAAUAAGGAGAGGGCAAGUCUGGUGUCAGCCGCCGCGGUAAUACCAGCUCUCCGAGUGGUAGGGACGUUUAUUGGGCUUAAAGCGUCCGUAGCCGGCUCAACAAGUCUCCCGUUAAAUCCAGCGAUUUAAUCGUUGGAUUGCGGGGGAUACUGCUCGGCGAGGGGGUGGGAGAGGCCAACGGUAUUCUCGGGGUAGGGGUGAAAUCCUAUAAUCCCGGGAGGAGCACCAGUGGCGAAGGCUGUUGGCUAGAACACGCCCGACAGUGAGGGAUGAAAGCUGGGGGAGCGAACCGGAUUAGAUACCCGCGUAGUCC
This 415-nucleotide ribosomal RNA is filed under the name uncultured crenarchaeote. Its description in RNAcentral is "partial 16S ribosomal RNA". It matches the Rfam family "Archaeal small subunit ribosomal RNA", at positions 330 to 747 of the family's 1478-position model. Lineage: Archaea; Thermoproteati; Thermoproteota. The record is from RNAcentral.